RNAcentral lists this non-coding RNA (23 nucleotides) under Rattus norvegicus (Norway rat). The record is from RNAcentral. Lineage: Eukaryota; Metazoa; Chordata; Mammalia; Rodentia; Muridae.
UCAUGGUGCACAAGCUAUCGACC